This 2628-nucleotide long non-coding RNA is filed under the name Naja naja (Indian cobra). RNAcentral describes it as "lncRNA (ENSNNAG00000007187.1)". Lineage: Eukaryota; Metazoa; Chordata; Lepidosauria; Squamata; Elapidae. The record is from RNAcentral.
UCACAUAUUAUGAAUGAUGGCUUUGCUGACUUGCCCUAUUUGGACGGCAUGGCUUCUAAGUAAGCUAUGUAAACACAAGCAGUAAGUAAGAAAAUUCCCAAAUGAGACAGGUACAAAUACCAGAGAUAUCCCUGAAUUUAGAAAUGCAUACAUCCAUUAAUAUAAUGUUCAGGGGGUGGGGGUUGAUGUUCCCCAAUUACCAACAGCAAACGGGUGGAAUAUCGUUUUGCUGACUGUAGAAACAGCCCACAUUGAUAAAUGUGGAGUCUCCCUUCUUAUUGAAAAGAUUGCCCGAAGGUAGUCCUGAUACUGACGGGGAACUUCCCUAACUAUCUGCGGACAGAAGGCCAAUGCCAGAUCUCUCCCUUCCUAUUUAUUUUAUUUGUUUGCUUACUGACAAAAAAAAAGUAACUUGUCUUUUUGGCCGCUGAGGUGAGGCUGACAGUUGCUUUUGCCGCAGACCGGCAGUAGGGAGCCGAAGGCGGAGCUUGCUGGUGCUCCAGAGCCGUACGGGUUUAAGGAUUUAGCGGCGGUCUCAGGGGGAGGACUGCGGCUCAGCAGCUCGGCGCGCCUUUGAAGCAGCAACCCGGACAUGGACAAAAUAAAUUACAUUCUCCUAACGGCAUUCAUUCUCCUAACCAUAUCCUGCAGUUCUGGCUAUGCACUUCGAUGUUAUUUCUGUGAACAAAGUCCUUUUCUCUGUAGAACCAACCUCACUUGUUCUGAGGAAGACGACGCUUGCUUGCAAAUUAGAAUGGUGAAUUUGAGAACGUACAGGUGCUGGAAAAUGUCAAAAUGCAGCAAAGAUGUUGUAGCCCAGGAGUUUAGCGUUGACAGUUUUAGACACCUUUGCUGCCAAAGAGAUUUCUGCAAUAAGAGUCCAGACCUCCUCAUCAGUACCACUCCCCUUGGUAUUUCGGCAGUGAUUGUGGUUUGGAUGAUGUCCCGAUGAUAUGCAGAUUCAAAGUAAUAUGUUCUCUGCAUAUCCCAGUUCUCCCCAGAUACACAAGCACUUUUACUGGAGCAACUAAAGCUAUUUGAAGAAGCAAUGUCUUUUUAACCAGAAUAGUGUUAAAGCUAAACCAAAAAAGAAAUGGAGAAGAAAUAUAUAAAAAUGGAAAACCAGUUUUGUAAGAAAGUACUCUCACUCAGUGCAUGUUGAUUUGUCUUUGACAAUUGAAUCUUCUCCUUAAUAUUUAAUCUCUGGUUAAUCUAUGGCAGCGAAAAUGCUUAUUUAUCAUAUUUCUGGGCAACUUUGUUUUGUAGGGAAGCAAAUUUGUAUUUUUUUGCCUUUAUCAGUUUCAACAGCUGCAUGUUUAUCAGUAAAGAUGGAUACUGUAUCACUUUUAGUGCAAGCUCAUCAUAAACAUGUUUAAGAGGUUACCAAAACAAAUGGUUGUAGGAUCCCACUGUUAAUAGUCCUACAUUGACAGAUUUGACCUUCUAUCUGUUUUAACAUGCUAUUGCAAUCUUUAUUAUCCAGAUGUUAAGCUAACUACUCUGCAGAGAACUCAUAUAUGUGGCAUGUUAUGUAGUAUACUCAGUAACUACACAGCUUUUCAAAACUUAUUUUCUAUUCCUUAGCACAUUUACACAAAGAACCUAAUAUUGACAGAGCUUAAUUUAAAAGUGCAAUUUCCCCUUUUCAUUGUAUUGUUUUCUGUGAAGACUAUUCAAUAGAGAAACACUGAAAAGUAUUACUUAACAGAGUCCUUCCUAUGAUAGGCACAUUUUAAAAGUAUAUUAUAUAUGGACAAUAGUUAACAUUUUUAUGCAGAUUUUCCCAUAUAUCUAGAAUUGUUGGUAUCUUAAAAAAGUAUUGAAACAACUAUGUGCAGUAUAUUCUACUUACUAAAUAUGUAUAAAGAUUCCUGAGAGAACCCUGGCUUUGCUUUCAUAUGUAUAAAUCCUGUGGUUUUUAUCUUAAGAUCAGUAGUCUGUAACAUUAUUAUAACUUAUUUCAGUGGGAACUAAUAUGGUCCAAGGAGGCAAAGCUGAUGGGCAAAGAUUUUUCACUUUUUUCCACUAAUUAAAUGAAGGAAUUAGUAGGGUCUGUAUACAGACUGUUAGAACUGACAAAGAAACCCAAAAGAAGACAAAAAUCUGCUAACUGCCAACUAACAGAUAAGCAUCAUAUGUGAUUGCAAUGAACCUGAGUGUUGGGAAAUAGAGAAACCAAAAAGAAAAGUAUUUCCCAUCUAUACAUAAUUAACCAAGUUGCUUAUAAUUAUACAACUAUCCUGGCUGAAUUCACCACCAUCACUUCAGCAACAAAGUAAGCAAUCACAUUUUACCCUAUUUUGGUGAGCAACCCAGCUAUUGUUUUUUUUGUAAAUCCUUAAGUUGGAAUAAAACAGGUCAAAUUUCAUUCAACAAGAAAAAAACUUAUCACCUGUUUGUACAAAAUAUAUUCCUAAGAGGUCUGUAAGAGGCUUGCAUAAGUGCACCAUCAUGCCUACCAUCCCUGUCCUAUUGUCCCCAUUUAUUCAUACCUAUUUCCUGUAUUCUUACUCAUGUUUAUACUUAUAUCUAUUAUCUUGUAAGCUAUUGACAAAUCAAAUAAAUAAAUAAAAAUAUUCGAUGUAUGUUAUUGCAUAUUUAACAAAGGUAUCACAAUAAAUACUAUGA